RNAcentral lists this ribosomal RNA (253 nucleotides) under uncultured bacterium. RNAcentral describes it as "partial 16S ribosomal RNA". It matches the Rfam family "Bacterial small subunit ribosomal RNA", at positions 524 to 776 of the family's 1533-position model. The record is from RNAcentral.
UACGUAGGUGGCAAGCGUUGUCCGGAUUUACUGGGCGUAAAGGGCGCGUAGGCGGCCUUCUAAGUCAGACGUGAAAUCCCUCGGCUCAACCGAGGAACUGCGUCUGAUACUGGAAGGCUUGAAUCCGGGAGAGGGAUGUGGAAUUCCAGGUGUAGCGGUGAAAUGCGUAGAUAUCUGGAGGAACACCGGUGGCGAAGGCGGCAUCCUGGACCGGUAUUGACGCUGAGGCGCGAAAGCUAGGGGAGCAAACGGG